This is a long non-coding RNA of Hippoglossus stenolepis (Pacific halibut), 286 nucleotides long. RefSeq lists it as uncharacterized. The transcript has 4 exons. Lineage: Eukaryota; Metazoa; Chordata; Actinopteri; Pleuronectiformes; Pleuronectidae. The record is from RefSeq and is a predicted model, not a curated record.
CGACUGGCAUCACUUCCAACAUCCAUCCACCUCUCCUGUGCUGUUCAUCUGUUUAUUCAUCUUUUCACUUUUUGCAAAAGGACUUGGACAAUCUGCAAAUAUGAACCUGGCCAUCAUCUUCCUCUGUCUGGCUAGCACAGUCUCAGCUGCACCAUCAGCUUUUCAUUACCUGAAUCAUUACACAGGAUCCAGACCUCAGUUACCACCAUCUCAGAUGAAAAAUCCCUUCGCAGGUGGUCAGCCUCUCCCACCAGCUGGACUUCCUGGUGCCUACAGUGUGGAACUG